UCUACCUUGGUCCAGCGGCCAAACCACCUUCCGUGCAGACAAGAGCGGAAGCAGGCGGUUGGAGGUUCGAGUCCUCCAGGUGGCA
Non-coding RNA from Mycena filopes, 85 nucleotides. The record is from the annotation of a GenBank genome assembly. Lineage: Eukaryota; Fungi; Basidiomycota; Agaricomycetes; Agaricales; Mycenaceae.